GACGAACGCUGGCGGCGUGCUUAACACAUGCAAGUCGAGGGUAGCAAUACACUGGCGCAAGGGUGCGUAACGCGUAGAUUAUCUGCCCCAUACACUAACAUAACGCUUGGAAACGGGUGCUAAUAUUAGAUGAGGUGCUUCGGCAUCAAAGUUUCGACGGUAUGGGAUGAGUCUGCGUCUGAUUAGCUAGUUGGUAGUGUAAUGGACUACCAAGGCGACGAUCAGUAGCUGGUCUGAGAGGACGAUCAGCCACACUGGAACUGAGACACGGUCCAGACUCCUACGGGAGGCAGCAGUGAGGAAUUUUGCGCAAUGGACGAAAGUCUGACGCAGCGACGCCGCGUGUGGGAUGAAGGGGCUACGCCCUGUAAACCACUGUUAGAUGUGAAAAAAAGAUGGCUUUGCCGUCCGGGAUUGUAACAUCAAAGAAAGGACUGGCUAACUACGUGCCAGCAGCCGCGGUAAU
Molecule: ribosomal RNA, 466 nt
Filed under: uncultured bacterium
Lineage: Bacteria
Description: bacterial SSU rRNA
Rfam family: Bacterial small subunit ribosomal RNA
Source: RNAcentral